Ailuropoda melanoleuca (giant panda) is the source of this 856-nucleotide long non-coding RNA. RefSeq lists it as uncharacterized. The record is from RefSeq and is a predicted model, not a curated record. The transcript has 4 exons. Lineage: Eukaryota; Metazoa; Chordata; Mammalia; Carnivora; Ursidae.
CAUUCUGUAGACGUUCAUGUUAAAAAGUAACCACGUAACUCAUAUAAAUGAUUGUAAUAUUUACAUCUCACUCAUACCACAUGGACCAUUUCAAGUUAAAAAUAUUUAAGCUUCUAAAUUUGCAAGUGCUAAGCUGCAAAAUAGAGACUGUUUUCUCCCUGGGACAAUGAACAUCUGCUGAAACGAUUUGUCCAACAGAGCAUUUGCCUCUGCAGGCCUUUUUUUUUUUUUUUUUUUUUUAAGAAAUGGAAAAAAAGAUCAUUGUUUAACUUCAACUCUUCUCAUCUUCUAAACCAAGAAACAGUUUCUCUUGGGACUAGAUGUUUCUAAGAUUUGGAAAAGUAAAGGGGCCUCAGCUUAUUAUUUACUUUUUCCUAUUUGCAAGUAAGGGCUAGCUCCACUUACGGUCGGUCACAAGAUGGCUGCCUUAUCUCUUGGUGUCAUAUGUAGAUGCCACAUCCAGUGGCAUAACAAGGAUUCUGUGGCAUAACAAGGAAGAAGGUGGAGGAGUGGUGUAUUGGUUUCUCCUCAUUCAUGAGAUGUGAGCCUCAACUGAUUUGUACCAAGUUGUGGAACAGUUAUUACUUGUAUUUCUGCUAGAAAGUUCUCUGCAGGAUAAAGGCAACAGUAAGUCAGCGAGCCCAAGCCGACACUUGUUUUGACGCGGUGAAGAGAAGCGCUUGGCCUUUCCACAGUUUUUCUGUGAGAGAAGUUAACAGGAAACAAAGAUCGCUAACAAACAAGCAAACAAAUCUCGCCCACUCCGCAGGCUAAGGCGAGGGGGACCCAGCGCCCGGCUCCGCGCGCCCCGCGCCCCGCUCCGCCCCGCGCGCCCCCGGCCGGAAGGGGGCGUGGG